This 670-nucleotide ribosomal RNA is filed under the name uncultured archaeon. RNAcentral's name for it is "bacterial SSU rRNA". It matches the Rfam family "Archaeal small subunit ribosomal RNA", at positions 150 to 821 of the family's 1478-position model. The record is from RNAcentral.
CACCCGAUAGAACAUUAUGCCUGGAAUGGUUUAUGUUUCAAAUAAUUUAUUGCCGUAGGAUGGGACUGCGGCCUAUCAGUUUGUUGGUGAGGUAAUGGCCCACCAAGACUAUUACAGGUACGGGCUCUGAGAGGAGUAGCCCGGAGAUGGGUACUGAGACACGGACCCAGGCCCUAUGGGGCGCAGCAGGCGAGAAAACUUUGCAAUGUGCGAAAGCACGACAAGGUUAAUCCGAGUGGUUUCUGCUAAAGGAACCUUUUGUCAGUCCUAGAAACACUGAUGAAUAAGGGGUGGGCAAGUUCUGGUGUCAGCCGCCGCGGUAAAACCAGCACCUCAAGUGGUCAGGAUGAUUAUUGGGCCUAAAGCAUCCGUAGCCUGCUUUGUAAGUUUUCGGUUAAAUCCAUACGCUCAACGUAUGGGCUGCCGGGAAUACUGCAAAGCUAGGGAGUGGGAGAGGUAGACGGUACUCGGUAGGAAGGGGUAAAAUCCUUUGAUCUAUUGAUGACCACCUGUGGCGAAGGCGGUCUACCAGAACACGUCCGACGGUGAGGGAUGAAAGCUGGGGGAGCAAACCGGAUUAGAUACCCGGGUAGUCCCAGCUGUAAACUAUGCAAACUCAGUGAUGCAUUGGCUUGAUGCCAAUGCAGUGCUGCAGGGAAGCCGUUAAGUU